AGUGAACGCUGGCGGUAGGCCUAACACAUGCAAGUCGAACGGCAGCACAGUAAGAGCUUGCUCUUACGGGUGGCGAGUGGCGGACGGGUGAGGAAUACAUCGGAAUCUACUUUUUCGUGGGGGAUAACGUAGGGAAACUUACGCUAAUACCGCAUACGACCUACGGGUGAAAGCAGGGGAUCUUCGGACCUUGCGCGAUUGAAUGAGCCGAUGUCGGAUUAGCUAGUUGGCGGGGUAAAGGCCCACCAAGGCGACGAUCCGUAGCUGGUCUGAGAGGAUGAUCAGCCACACUGGAACUGAGACACGGUCCAGACUCCUACGGGAGGCAGCAGUGGGGAAUAUUGGACAAUGGGCGCAAGCCUGAUCCAGCCAUACCGGGUGGGUGAAGAAGGCCUUCGGGUUGUAAAGCCCUUUUGUUGGGAAAGGAAAGCAGCAGGUUAAUACCCCGCUGUUCUGACGGUACCCAAAGAAUAAGCACCGGCUAACUUCGU
RNAcentral lists this ribosomal RNA (491 nucleotides) under uncultured bacterium. RNAcentral's name for it is "partial 16S ribosomal RNA". It matches the Rfam family "Bacterial small subunit ribosomal RNA", at positions 29 to 506 of the family's 1533-position model. The record is from RNAcentral.